Sorex fumeus (smoky shrew) is the source of this 102-nucleotide small nuclear RNA. Lineage: Eukaryota; Metazoa; Chordata; Mammalia; Eulipotyphla; Soricidae. The record is from RefSeq and is a predicted model, not a curated record.
AUGCCUGCUCUGGCCACACAUAGUAGAUUGGAACAAUACAUAGAAGAUUAGUGUGGCCCAUGCAAGAAUGACAUGAAAAUUCCUGAAAUGUUCCAGUGAUUA